Molecule: long non-coding RNA, 421 nt
Filed under: Ananas comosus (pineapple)
Lineage: Eukaryota; Viridiplantae; Streptophyta; Magnoliopsida; Poales; Bromeliaceae
Description: long non-coding RNA (ACOM_LNC002511)
Source: RNAcentral
AUUUGGAGUGUGUGUCGAAUUGUUGGUGUUAACCAUUAAUCUCAAAAGCUUGAGCUGUUAGAAAUACACAACCAAUUCAUUUUAAGCAUACAAAUACUCGCCCAUCCGGCCUCACGCCACUUUAAACAUGACUCGGCCUACUCAGUCUCACGCCAUUUCGAAUAUGACUCGGCCCAACAUGACCUUCUGUUACAGGACAGAAUGCUGGUCUAUUUAAGCCAAUAGUGUGAUGUUUGAAACAUACUUUAGUGGAGUGCUUUCCAACGAAGCCUCGUUGGGGAGCUCUCGAUUUGCUAUCGUGUGUCAGUUUAAUCUCUAUCCAAAGAUUAUAAUUCUAUCAUCCAAAAUUUGUACCCAAAAAAAAAAUUAGGUUUAGUUUUAAAAAAUAUCCGACGAAUUUUCGGAUGGAGAUAAAACUAAU